GCCUAAUAUACAUGACAUAGGCAUAUAUAGCAUAUUGUAAACUCAUCUGUAUCAAAAUAGGUUAAAUAUUGUAAAGAGAAUGCAAACCUAUGAUUCAUUCUACGCAAAGAUCAAUCAAACAACUUUCUGAUUUAAAUGAAGUUUCAAAACUGAGUAGGCAACAGCGAAUCUGCAAUUCCUGGAUCAUACGAUAUUGUUUUAUAAUGGGCUAUAUUCUUCGGAGAUCGCCGACUUUAAAAAAUACCGAAGAAAGAGUAUAUAAUACGACCAGUCUCAGAUCGGAUUUGAAAUUCCUGUCAUGCUCGUUUAUGUUAUGACGGUCUGACGAAAUGUUUAGAAGAUCGUCAAAUACGUCAUCCACUUUAAAAAGAUUUGCACCGCGGAGGAAUGAUCUAUGAACACUAUUUUGCGAUUUACUCAUCGGAAAAUAAAGUAUUCACGGGAACACAUUGAUUGUUAUAUGGAGAAGUAUUCAUCAGCAUUAUUGGAAGAGUGACUUCAAUCGUAUUCUCAGAAUCUAAAGUAUUCAUCAAGACUCUUGCUGAAACACAUUGCGUGAUGACAGUAGCGUUGUGAAACUGUGGUUAACAUCAAAUCUACAAAUUGUCGUUUUGGCAAAGACUGAAACAGGUCGAUCGCAUUGCAAGACAUCGAUGCGAUUUGUCAAUACAGCAGUCAAUCCCGAUCUCAACUGAUUUCAAGGUUCAGAAACUAUAUAACUGACACUAUUGAGACCGUCUAAAAUAAAUCCAACACUUCGAAACUAUAAAAAACUGAUCAGCACCCCUUCAGACUGAUUAUUUGAAUUUUGAGAAGACUAUAAAUGCAAACUAGAAACUUUAACACCGUCCGACUCUAACUUUCCGAAACUGAUUGGUACCCCUUAGACUCAUUCUGGGCCUUUUCAGCAGACUAUAAAUGCGCCAAACUCUAGAACUUUGUUGCACAAACUAGCAAAAACUAUUAAUGGAUUUUUCUUCAAUAAUUUGAUCUGAUAUUGAUAUCAAAUGAAUUCAGGAACUGAUUAUUACAGAAUAUGGAUUCCGAGGCUCAAGCCGACUUUCAACACUGUUUAACUUAGAAACACUGUCAUAUGCCGCAUUAUACUAUUAAUGCUGUCUAACUUGAAACUAUGAUCAGUGCAUUAGGUUAAGGCAUUAACAGUGAUUCAAUUAAUUUGUAUUGAGCUAUCUUACCACAAGUGUUACACCCUGAUCUUACGCACGCUCCCAACUUUGCGAAGAUUGUUGAAAUGCUUAGAGACAUAAGCUAUUAUUAGCUAAUGCUCUAAAUGUAAAUGGACCAUGGUUUUGUAGAACCCUGUAUUAUCAAUAUUAUGUAAAGUUUAUUAUUAUGUAUUCAAAUCUGUACAAUAUUUUAAUAAGAGUGUAUUAUUAUGAUUUUGAUUUAUGGUUUUCUUUUUACAAUUACGUUUUCGUCGUUUUUUGAAAUUGCUUUGGGUUGGGCUAUUUAUACGAAGUUAGAUGAUGAUGAAAAUGAUAUUUGCCCAACUCGUUGAAGUAUCAAGCUCUUGUGUAUGGUUUACAGCAAUUUUAUUUGUCUGUUGAUUUCCGUCAACCUUCGAAAUAUGUUACAAAGCAACGACUACGUAGGUUCAAACCGAUAAUUAUUAUUAAAUUUUGAACACCUUUGCCUUAGCUAUCGUUCAUAUUUUUUGUUCUUUUUUAGAAGAAUCGUAUUAUUCUAACUUUGCAUUGUCAAUAUUAUGUGAAAUUUGAUUUUAUAUAUUUAAAAUAUGGCCUAUUUUAUUUUAUGCAAUAUACAACUAGAUGAUUUUGCUUAAUGGUUUUUGCCGUACAAUUUAAACUUUGUGUUUUCGAAAUUUUUUAAAAUUGCUGUAGGGUUGAGGUGGGCUUAGUACACGAAGCUAUCCAACAUUUUUUUCUGUGUGUUGAUUAGAAGCCUCAGACCAUAAAAUGUCACAAAAGCUUUGUAUAAGAUCAUUCAGAUUCCAGUCGCAAAACCAAUCAGUUACUUCUUUAUUUGAACAUCUUUGCAUUUGAGAUCAUAUUGUGCUGCUUUGCUUUUAUAAGUUAUGUGUGUUGCUUUUUGUUGACAAGUAUCAUUUGUGCACAGAAUAGAUCUGUAUACUAGUUUUCAUAUGUUUUCCAAUGUUUAAUGUUUUGAAUCUAAUUUCUUUCUUCAUUAGACAGUAAAUAUUGUUGCCAAAUGUUACUUUUCUUGAAUAUGCAACUUGUUUGGUUACCUACUUCAUUUAUUUAAAUUUACCUGAUUUUCUCUUUGCAAUGUGUUGAUCGCUUUUUUUAAUUAAUGUUAAUUGCUGUAGGGUUUGGGUGGGCUCUUUAACACAUCAGCUGGAAUUAGUGUCCAGUUGCAUGAACUACAGCAAUUUAACUUAAAUUGUGUCUUGUUACUAUUCAUUUGAUUGAAUAAAACUGUCUUGUUAUUUUUUUUAAUUCAAUGAAAUUACUGAAAAUAAAAAAUAACAUUGGUGUGA
Non-coding RNA from Styela clava, 2479 nucleotides. Lineage: Eukaryota; Metazoa; Chordata; Ascidiacea; Stolidobranchia; Styelidae. The record is from RefSeq and is a predicted model, not a curated record.